Molecule: unclassified non-coding RNA, 330 nt
Filed under: uncultured bacterium
Lineage: Bacteria
Description: contains 16S-23S intergenic spacer region
Source: RNAcentral
CCUGGCGAUCGAGAGCUUCGCCGACGGCGACGCCCAUCAUCUUGCCCGCAUUCCCCUCCGUGCUGCUCGUGAGAAUGAUGCCGUUGGCGCCGAGCUGGGCGGCCUGCUUGCGAAGCUCGCUCGCGUGCUGCUGGACGUCCUUCGCGGGAAGGAGCGCCACCUCGCGGUAUGGAUAGGGGACGCGCCCGGCGGCGGCGAACAGAGCGACGCCGUUGGGGCAGAUCGGUAGAUCGGGGGCGCGUGCGGUCGACUUCGAAUUCAAGCAUGCGCCGAGGAAUGCGGCGACCGUCGCGGCAGCAGCACGAGUGAUCAUAAGGCGUCCGUGUUGAG